Small nucleolar RNA from Vicia villosa (hairy vetch), 141 nucleotides. RefSeq annotates it as small nucleolar RNA snoR137. The record is from RefSeq and is a predicted model, not a curated record. NCBI's taxonomy places the organism in Eukaryota, Viridiplantae, Streptophyta, Magnoliopsida, Fabales, Fabaceae. The transcript has a single exon.
GUUGCUUCACAAUGGUGAAACCUCUUCUUUCAAGUAAGAGGAUUUCAAGUUUCCCGAAGCAUAAAUCAAACCUAAAAAACCAGUCUUAAACAACGUUGUGUAAUUUUAACUACACUAUGUUACCUGUCUACUGGUACAUUC